CCUACGGGGUGCAGCAGUGAGGAAUAUUGGUCAAUGGACGAGAGUCUGAACCAGCCAAGUAGCGUGAAGGAUGACUGCCCUAUGUGUUGUAAACUUCUUUUAUAUGGGAAUAAAAUGUUCCACGUGUGGGAUUUUGUAUGUACCAUAUGAAUAAGGAUCGGCUAACUCCGUGCCAGCAGCCGCGGUAAUACGGAGGAUCCGAGCGUUAUCCGGAUUUAUUGGGUUUAAAGGGAGCGUAGGUGGAUUGUUAAGUCAGUUGUGAAAGUUUGCGGCUCAACCGUAAAAUUGCAGUUGAAACUGGCAGUCUUGAGUACAGUAGAGGUGGGCGGAAUUCGUGGUGUGGCGGUGAAAUGCUUAGAUAUCACGAAGAACUCCGAUUGCGAAGGCAGUUCACUGGACUGCAACUGACACUGAGGCUCGAAAGUGUGGGUAUCAAACAGGAUUAGAUACCCCUGUAGUC
RNAcentral lists this ribosomal RNA (460 nucleotides) under uncultured bacterium. RNAcentral's name for it is "partial 16S ribosomal RNA". It matches the Rfam family "Bacterial small subunit ribosomal RNA", at positions 338 to 795 of the family's 1533-position model. The record is from RNAcentral.